RNAcentral lists this ribosomal RNA (459 nucleotides) under uncultured Streptococcus sp. RNAcentral describes it as "partial 16S ribosomal RNA". It matches the Rfam family "Bacterial small subunit ribosomal RNA", at positions 341 to 792 of the family's 1533-position model. Lineage: Bacteria; Bacillati; Bacillota; Bacilli; Lactobacillales; Streptococcaceae. The record is from RNAcentral.
ACGGAAGGCAGCAGUAGGGAAUCUUCGGCAAUGGGGGCGACCCUGACCGAGCAACGCCGCGUGAGUGAAGAAGGUUUUCGGAUCGUAAAGCCCUGUUGUAAGAGAAGAACGUGUGUGAGAGUGGAAAGUCCACACAGUGACGGUAACUUACCAGAAAGGGACGGCUAACUACGUGCCAGCAGCCGCGGUAAUACGUAGGUCCCGAGCGUUAUCCGGAUUUAUUGGGCGUAAAGCGAGCGCAGGCGGUUUAAUAAGUCUGAAGUUAAAGGCAGUGGCUUAACCAUUGUUCGCUUUGGAAACUGUUAGACUUGAGUGCAGAAGGGGAGAGUGGAAUUCCAUGUGUAGCGGUGAAAUGCGUAGAUAUAUGGAGGAACACCGGUGGCGAAAGCGGCUCUCUGGUCUGUAACUGACGCUGAGGCUCGAAAGCGUGGGGAGCAAACAGGAUUAGAUACCCUGGUA